UACGAAGGGGGCUAGCGUUGUUCGGAAUUACUGGGCGUAAAGCGCACGUAGGCGGACUUUCAAGUCAGGGGUGAAAUCCCGGGGCUCAACCUCGGAACUGCCUUUGAUACUGUUAGUCUUGAGCUCGGAAGAGGUGGGUGGAAUUCCUAGUGUAUAGGUGAAAUUCAUAGAUAUUAGGAAGAACACCGGUGGCGAGGGCGGCCCACUGGUCCGAUGCUGACGCUGAGGUGCGAAAGCGUGGGGAGCAAACAGG
This 253-nucleotide ribosomal RNA is filed under the name uncultured bacterium. RNAcentral describes it as "partial 16S ribosomal RNA". It matches the Rfam family "Bacterial small subunit ribosomal RNA", at positions 524 to 776 of the family's 1533-position model. The record is from RNAcentral.